This 352-nucleotide ribosomal RNA is filed under the name uncultured bacterium. Its description in RNAcentral is "bacterial SSU rRNA". It matches the Rfam family "Bacterial small subunit ribosomal RNA", at positions 22 to 356 of the family's 1533-position model. The record is from RNAcentral.
GCUCAGGAUGAACGCUGGCGGCGUGCUUAACACAUGCAAGUCGAGCGAAGCACUUAGGAAAGAUUCUUCGGAUGAUUUCCUUUGUGACUGAGCGGCGGACGGGUGAGUAACGCGUGGGUAACCUGCCUCAUACAGGGGGAUAACAGUUAGAAAUGACUGCUAAUACCGCAUAAGACCACGGUACCGCAUGGUACAGUGGUAAAAACUCCGGUGGUAUGAGAUGGACCCGCGUCUGAUUAGGUAGUUGGUGGGGUAACGGCCUACCAAGCCGACGAUCAGUAGCCGACCUGAGAGGGUGACCGGCCACAUUGGGACUGAGACACGGCCCAGACUCCUACGGGAGGCAGCAGUA